CAUCCCUGUGCCCCAGCUCCCAGCCUGCCGUAGUCACUCCAUAGUGUUUCCUGAAAGGCCACACUAAUCAAACACAUUUUUUAAAAUUGUCUUUAUAUGAGCUACAGAAAAACAAUUGUCACAGGCCGUUUAUGGUUAAUAGAGAAACAACAAAGAAAAGAAUCAACCCUGUAAACAAGCAGAGGGGCAGAUUGGGCUUGUGGGUAGCAGACUCUGAGGCAGCGAUUAGUACCAGGAAGUUUAAAGUGCUCGGGGACCAGGCUGGGGAAGAGAAGGGCAGGGGAAGCAGGACAGACAGGAGAAGUCAGGCUGCCCUUGGGCCACAGGAAGCUCAGGUCACUUUGGGAGCCAUUCUGGAGAUGGGAUACUUUUCAGAACUUGCCAAGGUGGCAGGGGGUGCCGGGGCUUCAGACCACCUGCGUCAAUCAGUGGGGGUCGGGGGGCUGCCCUGGGAAGGGUCUGCCCCAGGCGUGAGGCUGCCUUCCGCCUUCACUACUCCCAGCACAGGGGCAAGAAGCCCAUCAGCCCGAAGGAGGAGCCGGGCUGCACAGAGCGGCGUCCACCCACGCAGGGUGAUGCAGAGUGAAAAGCACAUUUGCAGCCAUUGGGACUGUGAACCUCAGGCUUGCCUGCUGGCCUCACAGCAAGAACACGUGUGUCCUGUGGGAUCAGAUCAGGGCUCACAGAGUGAACAUCCCAUGGGUGCUGGGCUUCCUGUAUUUGUUCCUUCCCUUGGCCACAACAGGAAGCCCUUCGCAGGUAUGUCCCGUAGUCUCAGUCCAUUGCUCAGGAAGACUCCUCGUCUUGUCCACCAAAGGCAAUAGCAGCUCUGGCCUGACGCCCACCCCUGCCCUGCACCUGCCUGCCCUGGAUCUGCCGGGGGUCUGGAUACCCCUGGAGCUCCGGGGAGAAGGGCAAACAGGAGCAUGUGAGGGGCCAGGGUUUGAGUAAAAUGUCCUGGAGCCUGGAGGUCCAAAGAGGCCACCCUGGCCCAUAAGAGCUAGGAAGCUGGGUACGGAGUCUGCACCUCCUUCUCAGCACCCUGUGUCCUUCCUUACCAUGGAUUCACAUGGGAGCAGGCUCCACGGGUGGGAGGUGUGCCUGGUUCCAGGAGCCCCUCAUCCUGGGCAAAUAAGGAUGGUCGGUCCACCUAACAGCUACCCGGCAUGACGUCAGGUAACAAAGGCCUCUGCCUGGGCCCAGACCAUGUCCCCCUACACUCUCCCUAGCCCCUUCCCGUCAAGUACAAAACAGAGAAAUAGGAUCCGAUGGUUUUAAAAGUAGAAUGUGACAAGCAUCAGACCUGGAAAAGAACUGGAGGACCAAGCAGCACGAGGCUUUUACUCAGUGUAUGAGGUUCGUGUUAAUUCACUUUAUCCUGAAAACAGUCUUGAGAGGUAGGAAUUAGUGUCCCCUUUCACAAGAGAGGAAAAAUGAGGCCCAAUACGGUUAGUGACUUGCACAGGGUCCCACAGUGACAGGUGGCAUCCCUGGGUCCCGGUCCUGAGCCUCUGCACCCACCAACAUCCCGCUCUCAGCUGGCGCAGGGCUGCCAGCGUGUGGUUUUAGGGUGGAGAAUAAACACCGUCCUAGUUACACACCGGGGUCAGGAGGACGGUUAUCACUGUGUGUGUGUGUGCGCGCGCGUGUGUGUGUGCGUGUGUGUGUGUGUGUGUGUGUGUCCUGGCACCAGGUCUGUCAGUUCCUCAGUCUGAGUCUCCCCUCUAGUGCCUUCUCCUGGACAUAGGAAAGAGGGGCUGCCUCCCUGCUGUCCCCCAGGAUUGCCCCCUGCCCCUUCCUCCCUCCCCACUUCCAUCCUGGAGUGGCACCUGCAGGCUGGCUGCCCACCAAGGCCCCAGCUGUGUCACUCCCCUGACUAUGACAUUUGAUCUCCCACCUGGGAGGGCUGUGUCCCAAGGCCAAGGGUGGGCAGGCCACAUCUCCCCGCAGUCUCUCAUUCCAGUGGCUCCAGGCUGGUGGAUACCCCUCCCUAGGGGAGGAAUGCAGUCCAUAUUCUUCAGCCUUCGCCGCAGAAGAAGCCAACUCUGAGGCACGAGCCAGUGAGGCAGGGGCAGACGCCCCCGGCCAUUGGGCCCCUGGCCCAGGCUCCUUAGCUCCAUACUCCCUGCCCCUCCCAGCCCAGGCAGUCCUCCAGGCUCUGGUCAGCUCUGAGUUGUCUUUGCUGUGUCACCAGUGGGUCCUCUCUUCUCAGGAGACAAUGAGUCCCCAGAGGGAAGGUGACACCCCCCUUCUCUGAGCCAUGGCCUCCCCUCCAGUGGACUCUCAAGGGCCCCCUGUUCUCUUCAGGAGCCCAGACCCGGAGCCUGGGUGUGGGAACUGGGGGAGAGAGCCCUGAUCAGCCUCUGCAUGCAAGUCGAGGGACAGGCUGGUCCUGCGGGUGAGGGGUUCUCAGCUGCGCAGUCACAGCUUUCCCUGGAAGGGCCGGCCAGCAGGCAGCAGCAGCGGGAGUGUGGGCUCUGCUGGCUCCCAGGACUCGACCGACAAGCAGCCACAGUCAGAUCAGGGCCCAUCUAGAGGCCCCAUAGAGGACACUUGGCCCAGGGGGUGGGGGGCUUGGACAGCUCUGGGAUCCCCAACACCUUUGGUGACCCCCAACUCUUAGUCACUGUUACUUCUCUUCCAGGGUGGGACCCUUGGGACACGGGCUGUUUCUGGACUCUUUCUUCCCCCAAGGGCAUGGGGACGCUUGAAAAGAGCAGAGGGAAACUGAGGACAGAGCCCCGGGUGGGGAGAGACAGCCCUAGCUGUCCACCCCUCCCCCCAUCAGCUUGAUAGUAAGAGGUUCCAAGGCCGAUGGGAGCUGAGGUCUCUGUCUGCAAACAGCACACCUGGGGCUUCUCUGCCAUCCAGCCAGGGCCCAGGAGCCUGUGGCUCUCAGCAGAAUCACCUCAGUGGCUCCCCCCCACCCCCAGGGACUUCCCACCUGGUGCCCCUGCUCUGCCCCCUGUUCCCCGCCAGGUUCCGGGCAGCCCAGGGGAACUGAGAGGAUGCAGUGCAGCCUCCGGUUCUGGGAAGGCCUGAGUCCAGCAUUGCACAGUCCUCAUCCCCUGCCUGGCUCCAAUCCAGACAGGUCCCCAUCUUCACUCCUCCUCUGGUCUCCCGGGACCCCUCUGGGAGAAGCUCCCCCCCACCAUACAGUUAAGUGGCUUCAGACCAAGCAGGCUUCCACGGAGGCUCUGGUCUUGUGGACGGGUCCCUCCAGGAUCUGGCAGGAUCACGGCACAUGCUGUAGCCUGCGAGGAUGGGGACAGAGAUGAAGAGGGCGGUCCUCCUGCCCACCACGCACAGCUCCUGGACCAGCCCAGCCCCUCUGCCUCUGCCCUCCGCUUGCUGUUGGCUCUGCCCCAGAAGGCUAUGCUGAGCUGUCGCCGCCUGCCCACCCACCUCCCUCACCUGGGUGCUGUAUGGUCCUCCUGACUGGACACAGAACCCAUAGACCACGAUCAGCAUCACAGGCACUGGGAGCAAGGCCAGCACCGCCACGAGCACAGCAGGAUAGAAGUCCUGGUGCCUGCGGAGACAGGACAGAGUGCAGAGGAGGGGGAGCCGCAAUGGAAAAUCCUGAUGGAACUCAGGAGUCUCGGACGCCAAUAAAGCCACCUGCCACUUUCAGCAGGUCACUGACCUUCUCUGGACCUGUUUCCUCACCCGUAGGGAGAUGCAUAUUACCUCCACACUGUUGUGAGGAUUAAGAUAAACAGUGCAAAUGAACAAGCCUUGUAGAUUAUAAAAUUAUGUGAAUAUAUAUUUUUUCCUACAUUUCCUUCAAGCUCUAAAACUCUGCCCUGUAUUCCCACCUUUGAUCUCUAGGGGGCCACCUUCUCCACUUUGCCCUCUGUUUUUCCAUCAUCACCCUUUCAGAUCCUCAGUUCUCUUGUGGGCCAACCGGAAGCCUGGGAGCCCCUUGGGUGCUGUUGGAAGCGGGGAAGGGCUCUGCACAUAAGCCCAGUGAGUGGAGGGGUCCAGGGUAAACAAGGCUUGGAACCAAGACCCGGGUUAGUUUCUCCCUGUGUGGGCUUGGGUAGGUCACUGCCCCUCUCUGAACCUCUGUUUCUUUCUCUAGAAAAUGGAGGGGAUGAGGAUGAGUCAGAAUAGCCAUGACUUCACAUGAGCUCUGUUAAAACAAGACAACAGACCCAAAAUGGAGUCACUUAUGCUAAGCCCCACGUCACCAAACCAAAACUUAAUCUAUGGUUUCAGCUAUCCCAGAAACGAAAUCUUAAGCCAGUCCAUCAGGAAUCACCUGAUCACCCCUAGUUAAGCUAUCUGCCUGAUAGACCCCUGCCAUCCCCUAAAGGAAAGCAACUUUGCAAUAACCAACCUGCUUUUUUGCCAGUAUAACUUCUUUGUUUCCACUCCUCUAUAAAAGUCUUUCAUUUUAUGAAAAGCUCAGAGCUCUUCUUUAUCUGCUAGAUUGGAUGCUG
This is a long non-coding RNA of Lagenorhynchus albirostris (white-beaked dolphin), 4445 nucleotides long. RefSeq lists it as uncharacterized. The transcript has 3 exons. NCBI's taxonomy places the organism in Eukaryota, Metazoa, Chordata, Mammalia, Artiodactyla, Delphinidae. The record is from RefSeq and is a predicted model, not a curated record.